This 599-nucleotide long non-coding RNA is filed under the name Capra hircus (goat). RNAcentral describes it as "lncRNA (ENSCHIG00000003598.1)". The record is from RNAcentral. Lineage: Eukaryota; Metazoa; Chordata; Mammalia; Artiodactyla; Bovidae.
GUUUUUGUUUUAUUUUGUCUUGUUUUUAUAGGAAGGAGCCACAAAGCCAGAGAUUGUAGACAAAGAAAGUAAUACGGAUAUUAUUGAAAGGGCUCCCCAAGAGCAAAUAAAUCAUGACCGUUUUAGUUCUGUUGAUGGAACACACAGGAAUAAUAGAAGUGAUAUGACGUCAGCCUUAGGAUUGGGAAUAGAGGAAGAUAUAGAAUCACCUUGGGAUUCUGAGAUUCUCCUGAGAAAUAUCCUAACGUGAAGGUAAAAUCAUUUAUGUUUUUAUCUUGAAUUAUGAACUGUGGAUUGUAUCAAAGGUACAUUAUUUAUUAACCAACUUGUUUCCAAACCCAUUCAGCCUGCAGUCUUAGUGAGAGAGCCUAUUCCUAAUAAAACAGUCGGAGUGAAGGAUCUACAAACAUUCACUUCAGAUUUGUCGGCAGAACUAGAUUUAGAAAUGACAUCAGAGGAAGAAGAAGAAAAACCUGUUGGAGAUGAAAAUAACCAUUCCCAGGUAUGUAAAAAUGCAAAUUUAGAUCUCGCUUAAUACAGUUUCCUGUGCUUCAACAGCAUGAUACAGUGUGUAACAAAGGUCAUGACAAAUAAAAUUA